This is a non-coding RNA of Spinacia oleracea (spinach), 156 nucleotides long. Lineage: Eukaryota; Viridiplantae; Streptophyta; Magnoliopsida; Caryophyllales; Amaranthaceae. The record is from Rfam.
AAAAGAAGAGGUUGUCAAGAUAGCCAAGGAGACUGCCUAUCACCCCUUUAAAAAGGCUUCUUAAUUAAUAGUAAUAGUACUAAUUAAUUAAAAACCCUAAUUUAAAGGUGCAGGCAAGUCAUCCUUGGCUACCAAACAUUAAACCGACUCUUCUCU